This 465-nucleotide ribosomal RNA is filed under the name uncultured bacterium. RNAcentral describes it as "partial 16S ribosomal RNA". It matches the Rfam family "Bacterial small subunit ribosomal RNA", at positions 338 to 795 of the family's 1533-position model. The record is from RNAcentral.
CCUACGGGAGGCUGCAGUAGGGAAUCUUCCACAAUGGACGAAAGUCUGAUGGAGCAACGUCGCGUGAGUGAAGAAGGGUUUCGGCUCGUUAAGCUCUUUUUGUAGUGAAGAAAGAUAGAGGUAGUAACUGGCCUUUAUUUGACGGUAAUUACUUAGAAAGUCACGGCUAACUACGUGCAAGCAGCCGCGGUAAUACGUAGGUGGCAAGCGUUGUCCGGAUUUAUUGGGCGUAAAGCGAGUGCAGGCGGUUCAAUAAGUCUGAUGUGAAAGCAUUCGGCUCAACCGGAGAAUUGCAUCAGAAACUGUUGAACUUGAGUGCAGAAGAGGAGAGUGGAACUCCAUGUGUAGCGGUGGAAUGCGUAGAUAUAUGGAAGAACACCAGUGGCGAAGGCAGCUCUCUGGUCUGCAACUGACGCUGAGGCUCGAAAGCAUGGGUAGCGAACAGGAUUAGAUACCCUAGUAGUC